GUCCACCUGUUCCCAUACCGAACACAGAAGUUAAGCUCAGUGGUGCCGAAAAUACUUGGCUGGUGACGGCCCGGGAAGAUAGGGAGAUGCCA
Molecule: ribosomal RNA, 92 nt
Filed under: Ruminococcus bromii
Lineage: Bacteria; Bacillati; Bacillota; Clostridia; Eubacteriales; Oscillospiraceae
Source: RNAcentral